AUACGUAGGGGGCGAGCGUUGUCCGGAAUGAUUGGGCGUAAAGGGCGCGUAGGCGGCCCGGUAAGUCUGGAGUGAAAGUCCUGUUUUUAAGAUGGGAAUUGCUUUGGAUACUGUCGGGCUUGAGUGCAGGAGAGGUAAGUGGAAUUCCCAGUGUAGCGGUGAAAUGCGUAGAGAUUGGGAGGAACACCAGUGGCGAAGGCGACGUACUGGACUGUAACGUGAGCUGAGGCGCGAAAGUGUGGGGAGCAAACAGGAUUAGAUACCCUGGUAGUCCACACUGUAAACGAGGAAUGCGAGGUGUAGGGGGUAUCGACCCCUUCUGUGCUGCAGUCAACACAAUAAGCAUUCCGCCUGGGGAGUACGGCCGCAAGGUUGAAACUCAAAGGAAUUGACGGGG
RNAcentral lists this ribosomal RNA (397 nucleotides) under uncultured bacterium. RNAcentral's name for it is "partial 16S ribosomal RNA". It matches the Rfam family "Bacterial small subunit ribosomal RNA", at positions 523 to 918 of the family's 1533-position model. The record is from RNAcentral.